AGGGAGGGCGGGCGCCAUGUUGGAGGCCGCGGGCGGUCGCGGCCGUGGAGGCCGGAGCUGUCCCGGGCGCGUCGGGUGGUCCCUGUUCCCGUCCCUGGCGUGGGCCAGGAGGGGCUGGCCAGGGUUUGGACAUCUAAGCGUUGCCCACAUCUUGCUGGAGAAUGGCGCUGACCUCAAUGCACAGAACAAGUUAGGAGCCAGUGUCCUCACAAUGGCCUCCAGAGGUGGUCACGUCAGCAUGGUGAAAUUGUUGCUGGAAUCUGGAGCUUUUGUGGACAAUUAUGACCAUUUUAGUACAAAUGUACUUAACAGCAGCCGAGAUGACUUUCCUGAUAUCACUCCACUGAUGGCAGCUGCUCAGCAUGGACAUGAGGCCGUGGUACAUCUGUUGCUAGACUGGGGAGCUGAUUGUAACUACACUCUAAAGACCAUGGGCUGGAGUCCUUUAAUGCUGGCAGCCGUUAGUGGAAAGGUGAGCUUGGCACAGCAGCUCAUGGAGAAAGGUGCCAAUCCUGAUCACUUGAAUGUACUACAUAAAACACCUUUUGAAAUCUCUGUUGGCUUGAAACACAAAGACAUGAAGGACUAUUUGGAGUCUCUCACAACAAUCAGGCCUCAGGCAGAUGCAGAAAAGAGACAACCUGAUGUCUUUCAUGCUUUGAAACUCGGAAACUUUCAGCUGGUUAAAGACAUCACUGAUGAAGAUCCAAGUCAGGUUAAUAUUACCAAUGUUGAUGGUGCAUCUCCUUUAAUGAUUGCAGCUGUAACUGGACAGCUGCCCCUUGUUCAACUCCUUGUUGAGAAAAAGGCUGAUAUUGAUAAACAGGAUAAUGUUCAUGGCUGGACAGCACUAAUGCAGGCCACGUACCAUGGAAACAAAAAUGUUGUAAAGUAUUUGCUAAAUCAAGGAGCUGAUGUUAACCUUCGUGCAAAAAAUGGAUACACAGCUUUUGACCUGAUAAUGCUGCUGAAUGAUCCAGACACUGAGCUUGUAAGGUUACUGGCAUCAGCAUGUAUGCAAGUAGAUAAAGACAAGAAUAAACUGAACAACAGAUCAUCUCUGCCUUGUUCCAGAAGUAGACAAUCCUUAAAUGUCCCAAUGUUGCCAGAUGACAAAGGAGGCCUAAAGUCAUGGUGGAGCAGGAUGUCCAAUCGAUUCCGCAAGCUGAAGUUGACUCAGACAUUGCGCCAUGGAUUUCCCUCUAAUCAGUUUGUUCCUUUUCCGGAUGAGAUGGAACCGUCACUAAAUUCCACUAUAAAAGUAGCCUCACAGAGUGAUACAGACACCUCUGGAAACCUUGAUGCUGCUACAGCUUGGAACACAAAUAACAAAGCUAGUGGUGCAAACACUACAAAAGGAGGAAAGGACGAUGAAUUAUUGACAACUAUGCUGAGGAGUAGUGCUCCAUUUACCAGGCUGCCCAGUGAUAAGCUGAAAGCAGUGAUACCACCUUUCUUACCACCCUCAAGCUUUGAGCUUUGGAAUUCUGACCGAACCCGACUCAGCAAAGAUGGCAAAGCUGAACAGAUGAGAACUGCCUGGCCACAGAGAGCAAUCAAGCAUGAUUUUAACAGCAGUGGGAACUCUGAUAUAACAUCUGUAAGCAAAGGUGCUAGACCAGUCAAAUUACCAACAUUUGCAAGAAGACCAGCAUCUCCUUCAAAUUCCAACAACUUCAACCAUUCUCCGCAUUCUUCUGGUGGAUCCAAUAACAUUGCAGGAAUUAACAGGCAUGGAGGAGAACUGCAUAACAGAUCAGGUGGCAGUGCAGAUAAUGUUUUGUCUCAGAUUGCAGCCCAAAGAAGAAAAGCAGCAGGCUUACCUGAACAGAAACCCAGCCAACAGCACAGUCCAGUCCAGUCAACUCCUUCAUCUACUGUAUCAGAUUUGCAGUGUGCUCAGAUUGUUGGCAAUGGACAUGUUGUAAAGCAAAAACUGGAGAUGAACAAAAGACCUCCAUCUGGGACUUCAUCUACAUCUAAAAGCACAUCACCAACUCUCACACCCUCUCCAUCACCUUCCCCAUCUCCUAAAGUUCAAAAUGCAGAGUCUUCUGUCUCUUCGUCUCACAGACACGCCAAGAGCAACGGCUCCAGCAGUGGUACUAUUACAGAGGAUGGCAACCACUUGGUGGACCAUCAACAGCUUGGGCCUCUUCUGAGAGACAGUGAUGUAGAGAAUCAUGAAAGACAAAACUAUAUGAGAGUAAAAGAAGGCUCUGAAAGCUUGGAGAAAGAUGAGCUGACUGGCAUCCUUAAAAAAUUGUCACUUGAGAAAUAUCAACCUAUAUUUGAGGAACAGGAGGUGGAUAUGGAAGCUUUCCUCACACUUACUGAUGGUGAUCUGAAAGAGCUGGGUAUUAAAACAGAUGGAUCAAGGCAGCAAAUUUUGGCUGCUAUUUCUGAACUGAAUGCAGGAAAGGGUCGAGAGAGACAGAUUUUACAAGAAACUAUACACAACUUCCACUCUUCCUUUGAGAGUAGUGUUAGUAACACACGACCACCAGGUCAUUCCCAACAUUCAAAUAUCAAGUGGAAAUUAUCCAGAGGAGCAAGUUAGAAAUUGAAGAGAGAGAAGUAAAAAUAGGAGCAAAAUCAAUACAGACUGCAUAUAAAAAUCAUACAGGAUUCAGCUCCUGGCUGCUCUUUAAAACCACAAGAAGCUGUUUCUUCUAAAAGGUAGCUACUGGAACAAAAGUUGGUUUUGUUUCUUUGUUCUUUUAUGGUAAAGUUUGGCAUCUGAAUAAAUCCAGACAAAUCCAAAUGAAAAUUGGAAAAGUUAGUCCUGACUAUACUGACAUAGGAUUUUCUGCAGUAAUGUGCUUAAAAUACAGAACCCACAGAAAGUCAAAGAAAAUAAUAAAGAGAUUGCUUCUGUAGUUCAACCCAAGUGUUGUUCAAAGCAUCAGUGGUCUGGAUUUAAGAAGAGCAAAAUCAGAAGAACAGGGAGAAUGGAUGAACAUGCAAGAAGAUGGAUGUUUCAUUCCACUCUUACCCAUAGAUAAAGAACCCGUGGGAGACCUACAUGGGCACAGUCAAGAGCAACAAAAGCACAGAAGAAGGCCACCACAAAUUAUUGAUUGGAUACAGAUAAAGGAGUCUAGAUUGAAAAUGCAAUGAUUUCAUGGGAAGAAAUAUAAAGGAGAAGUAAUGCUGCAUUCUUCAAUAACCAAAAUAUACUUUAUCUAUUCAAUAUUAUGAGGUUAGAACAGCAGUAAAAAUAAAAAACAAAAUACCUAUUUGUAAGAACAGCACUUUAUUUGAUGAAAUGCAUAAUCUAUCACCAAUAUUUAAACAGGAAAAAUGUUAAA
This is an RNA transcript of Ficedula albicollis (Collared flycatcher), 3311 nucleotides long. It is a transcript of the gene named ankyrin repeat and sterile alpha motif domain containing 6, with no coding region annotated. The transcript is spliced from 18 exons. Lineage: Eukaryota; Metazoa; Chordata; Aves; Passeriformes; Muscicapidae. The record is from RefSeq and is a predicted model, not a curated record.